Molecule: long non-coding RNA, 382 nt
Filed under: Fukomys damarensis (Damara mole-rat)
Lineage: Eukaryota; Metazoa; Chordata; Mammalia; Rodentia; Bathyergidae
Description: lncRNA (ENSFDAG00000023350.1)
Source: RNAcentral
ACCUUGAUGCAUUCUUUCUUACUGUCCUCAGUACACUGAGAUACGACCUUCAGUGUGAACAAGGAUGGGCUGGAAAUUGGACUGGGGCCACACCGUCAGGAGAUGCAGUAAUGGAAGAAGCGACUGUGCGAUUUACGCCUGUAUCUUCCACCCUCAAAUCUGAGGCAGUCACCGAAAUCUUGGCAAGCCACACCUUUCCACAAAACAACUUUGUGUGGAUAUUAAAGGCAGAGGAGACUGCAGAGGCCAGAGGACUUCAGGAGCAUCCGGGCAGCUGACCCUAGGUGGCAGUUACGCAGCUGACCCUAGGUGGCAGUUACGCAUAAUCACGAGUAGAGCUCAAAAAACGUAAUGAAAGGAAAAAAAAAAAAAGGAGGGAGGA